AUAGAGCAACUGUCGGAAGAGAGAGGAAAACCGCGAAGAAUAAGGAACGCAGCGAGAGUGAAGGGAAUGAACCUUCCCUGGACGUGUGACCACGAUCCUGGGUGUAGAGGGCAACGAUGCGCGUCAAACUUGUAAUAGAUCCAGUAUCCGCUGCACUUCCGCGAUCUCCUCCAAUGGCACUGAAAUAUUGAUAGGGUUUUCUCAAACGCUCUGUUUUCCGUUUCUACACACACUUUGUUUUUCGUUUCUGCACACACUCUGUUUUUUCAUUUCUGCAAUAUAUACGGUUUUACAACAAUCCCCCACAUAUUCGAAAAGAUAAAACAUAGAGAUAAAGAAAGAAAUUAAUUCUAGGUUCAUGUAAGAUGUAAUGCAUCAGAGUUGGUAUAAUAAGCUAUAUGAACCAAUCUUAGAUUGAUGAACUUAACACAUAGUGUAGUUGGUAUAGUAAGUUUGAACCAAGACACUUAGUAUGUGUUAGAGGUUUAUCAAUCACAAUACACCCCCACAAUACUUGUUGUUAUCGCUAUGUUGGGCGUAUAAGGCCAUGCGUGUGCCCGGUAUUCAUGAGUGUUAUAGAGAUCUCGCCAAUAUCUCAUGCAAGCGGCCCCACUUGACACUCAUAUAGGUAAUUUCAUCAAGUGUAUGCUGCAAAUCAUACACCACCCAUAAGGGAUAUGAAAAUUAUUAAAACUUUGCAAAUCAUUAAAAAUAUUUUACCUCAUAAUUUUAACCACAAAGUUUAUCCUCUCGAUAAUGCAGUGUCUAGCACUUUCACACACACCAUAGGAAUGGACAAAAUUGAUCUUAAAUCAAUAUUAGUGUUAGCAUAACUAACAAGUGACUUGUUUUUACCCAUAUGAACCUUAUUCAUGGGUUCUCCAAUCAUAAAGGUUGAGUUUCCAUCACUUGUUUGUUUGCAAGUGGCUUAAGUCUCAUUCUGCUCGAUGUUUUUAAAAUCAGUUUUCUCCCAAGGGGUUUUGUUAGAGGAUCUGCCAAAUUCCGUUCUGACUUGACAUAGUUAGCAAAAAUCGUUCUACUCUUUAACAGUUCCUUCACCAAAUUAUGUCUCAAUUGUAUAUGUCUCUUCUUUCCAUUGUAAGUUUUAUUUUUAGCUAUAGCUAUUGUCGAUUGGCAAAGAAUGCAUUGAUAUAGAUGGGGUUGGUUUCAUUCCUAACGGAAUGUUUGCUAAGAAAUUUUUCAACCACUCAGCUUCACUACCAAUCAUCUCGAGAGCAAAAAACUCAUAUUCCAUUGUUGAUCUUGCAAUAAUAUUUUGUCUGGCUGAUCUCCAUGUAACUGCACCACCCCCAAGUGUAAAUACAUAACCACUAGUAGAUUUUGUCUCAUCUGAAUAAGAGAUCCAGUUAACAUCAUUGUACCCUUCUAGCACAACAGGAAAUCAGUUAUAUUCACUGGCAUAAUCCAUUGUACCUCUCAAGUAUUUCAUGAGUCUCGCAAGUGCAUCCAAUUGAUCCUGACUAGGACAUUGAGUGUAUCUACUCACUCUACCUACUGCAUAAGCAAUAUCUGGUCUAGAAAAGCUCAUUAAAUGGAAUAAGCUCCCAAUUAUCUAGGCAUACUGAGUUUGAGAAAUAAAUUCUCCUAUGUUCUUCUUUAAUUUAGAGUUAGCAUCAUAAGGGGUGUUCACUGACUUAAAGUCAUAGUAACCAAACUUCUUAAGAAGUUUCUCAGUAUAUUUUUCUUGGGAUAGUAAUAUACUAUCUCCCUUCCUUAUAAUUUUAAUUAUUAGAAUCACACUUGCUUCACCCAUGUCUUUCAUCUCAAACUUAGAUCCAAGAAACAAUUUUGUUUUAUAAACAAUAUCAUUGCAUGCACUAAAAAUUAGCAUGUCAUCCACAUACAAACAUAUAAUGACACAUUCACCAUUUUCAGAUUUGGAAUACACACAUUUAUCAGCAUCAUUGGUAGAAAAACCUUCACAUAGUAAAACAUUAUCAAGUUUUUCAUGCCAUUUAUUUUGGUGCUUGUCUCAAACCAUAUAGAGAUUUUAAAAGUUUGCAUAUUUUUUCCUUUUGACCUGGAACUACACAUCCUUCAGGUUGAGUCAAAUGAAUUUUCUCUUCUAGUUCACCAUUUGGUGAAUUACUAACAUUCUUCAGGCCGUUUUAACAUCCAUUUGGUGAAUUACUAACUUAUGGAUAGAUACUAAGGCUAGCAACGCACAGAUAGAGGAAAUCCUAGUAACAGGGGCAAAAGUAACAAAGUAAUCUAUGUUAUGUUUUUUAGUAAAACCUUUAGCAACUAAUCUUACCUUAUAUUUCUCUAUGGAUCCAUCAGGAUGGUACUUCUUCUUAAAGAUCCACUUACAACCAAUGAAUUUUUCUCCUUUAGGCAAAUCUACUAAGGGUCCACGUAUUAUUUUUCUUAAUUGAAUCAAGCUCAGUUUUAAUGGCCUUAUUCCAAUGUUUAACAUUAGGAGUACUAUUAGCUUCUAAAAAACUUAUUGGAUCAUUUUCAACUAGAUAAGUGUAAAAGUCAUCUCCAAAUGAGGUUUCCUUUCUCUGUCUUUUACUUCUUCUAACAUCCUCAUUCUUGACAUCAUUAGCAUUAUCUAUAGGUUGUUCAGAUGUACCACUACUCUUUAGAGGAAGUAUAUGUUCAAAGAACUCAACAUUUUUCGUAUCUACUAUAGUGUUACGUUCAAUUAUAUCAUUAUUAAGAACUAGAAACCUAUAGGCAGCACUAAGUUCUCCAUAUCCUAAGAACAUGAAAUCAGAUGUUUUAGAACCUAUUUUCCUUUUCUUAGGAUCAGGUAACAUCACUUUAGCUAAACACCCCCACACUCUUAAGUAUUAAUGGUUGAUAACCUUUCCACAACUCAUAGGGUUUUACCAGUUUUCUUAUAUGGUAUCCUAUUUUGCAAAAAAACACGCGCUAAGCAGAGAUUCACCCCACAUAUUAUCAUAAGCAUUAAAAGUAAUAAGCAUGGCAUUCAUCAUUUCUUUAAGAGCUUAUUUUUCCUUUCAACUACUCAAAUAGAUUUAGGUGAAUACGGUGAGGUUACUUCAUGAAUAAUACCUUCUUUAACGCAAUAAUCAUUAAAUAAAACAUAUUCACCCCCUUUAUUUGAUCUAAUUUUUUUAUUUAAAUGAUUUUCUACUUACGCUUUAUAAGUUAAGAACAUGUCAAAAGCUUCAUCCUUAUGUUUAAUUAAAUACACUUUGGUGUAUCAAGAAAAAUCAUCUAUAAAUGUUACAAAAUAAUUUUUACCACCUCUAGACAUGGUUUGUUUUAAAUCUGCAAGAUUGGUAUGAACUAAACCAAGAAGUUCAGUUUGACGUUCUACAUAAUGACAUGUUUUAUUCGUUAUUUUAGAUUCUACGCAUAUAUCACAUUUACUAUUUUGUUUGUCAUGCAUGUUGAUUUAUCCUAAUCGUUGCAAUUUCAUAACAUACGAAUAAUUCACAUGUCCUAAUCUAGCAUGUCAUAUAUCAUACGAAUCAACAAUAUAAGCAAAAGAUUCAAAUUCAUUAAUAACUUCAGAAAUGUUCAAUACAAAAAGACAUUGAUCACAAUAUCCCUUUCCCACAAAAACAUUUUUUUUUGUCGUAACAAUCUUGUCAUAUUCAAAUGACACUUUAGCCUCAGCUUUGCUUAUCAAUGCUACAGAGAUCAAAUUAAAUUAAAUUUAUGUUACAUGUAGCAUAUCACUCAAAGCCAGAGUUUUACCAUAUGUGAGCUUUAGAAAAACCUUUCCUUUUCCUAGGACAAGAGUUGUCCUGGAGUCACCGUGAUAAACUUCUUAUUCUCUAUCUCACACACUUGUGUAGGAGGUAAACACAUUUUUGUUUGCAUAGACGUGUCUGGUAGCUUCAAAGUCUACCACUCAUUUGUUCACAUUUGUCACAAGAUUUACUUGUGAAACGACUGUCAUAAUGGUAUUUUCCCCUUUGGCUAGAUUUGCCUUAGGAGGAUAGUCGUUUUUGGCCCUAUGUCUGCACUGAGGUGCAUGAUGAUCUGGCUUUCCACAGAUACCCUUUUUCUUGAAAGUGGGGUUAGUUCCAUUGGGACGAGAGAAUUUAUUAUUAUAUUUCUUUUUGUUAUCAUAUUUUUUGUUCGUACCUUUUUGGAGUUGGUUUGUCUUCUACCACGUUUGCUUUGACAGACAAAGUUUUGGCCUUUGUAGCAGCACACUCCUUCCUGUUUGUGUCUUCAAUGAUGAUGUGGGUAAUCAAAUUUGAUAGUGAGAUUUGUUUGUGUUUGUGCUUCAAUUGUUGUUUGUAAUCAGUCCAAGAUUGCAAAAGCUUUUCGAUCAAGAGUUCCGACACUAAUUCAUCCGACAAGGCUAUGAUUUUGGCUUUGAUAUCUUCAAGUAGCUUGUGGUAUUCGUUUAUCUGGAUUUUGAUGUCUUUGUCUUCAAUCAUCUCCCAGCGGUAGUAGUUUCCGAUCACGAACCUUUGUCUGACGACAUCUUUGGCAGUGUAUUUGAGGAUAAGGGAAUCCCAAAUAUCUUUUGCUUCCUUGUAAGAGCAAUAAACAUCGAAGAGAUCGUUAGGUAACGCACUAAGUAAAGUGUGUUGACAUACCUUGUUUGCAUGGAUCCAAGUAUCAAAAGUGCAAAAGCGACUUCGUACAUGUCCAAUAGGGUGGACACGCGUUCUUGCCAGCGUCGGAAAUUCUGACUGGUGAAGACUUCAAUUUUUUAGACUUCUGGAAGUGGUUUCGCAAAAUAUGGUUUGCGUUUCAGAAACAACGUUUGACAUUUCUAGAGAAGAGUAGUUUUUGUUGUUCGCAUUGUCAGCCAUAAGUCCUUACGAUUGUAGUAAAGCAGACUUUAAAACACGAACAAAAUUGAUUUCCCGAAACGUGAGUGAUUAUUGUCCGUAAGGACUUAUUCGCAGUGUCUUGCGCAAGUCUCCCAGGAUACAACAGGAACUUCCCAGAAAUUUCUGAUGAUCAGAAUCCAAAAAAAUAUUUAUAAUAAAAGAAAAGAAUAAAUGAAGAGAGAGAAAGAGAGGAGUGCCCGGUGAGUGUUAUGAGGAAGAUGAAGAGCAGUGAUGUGUGAAAAUGAGAACGAAACCCUCUUUAUAUAGGGAGAGGAACCAAGGAUUUGUUGCAUCUUCACAAUUGAAAUCGUGGCACGUUCCAUUGACUAGCCGCAAGAAAUGGAGCAACUGCCGGAAGAGAGGGGAAGACCGCAGAGAAGAAGGAACACAGCGAGAGUGAAGGGCAUGAACCUUCCCUGGACGUGCGGCCACGUUCCUAGAUGUAGAGGGCAACAAUGCGCGUCAAACUUGGAAUAGAUCCAGUAUCCGCUGCACUUCCACAAUCUCCUCCAACGACUCUGAAAAAUCGCUAGGGUUUUCUCACACAAUCUAUUUUCCAUUUCUGCACACACCCUAUUUUUCAUUUAUGCACACACUCUCUGUUUUUUCGUUUUUGCAAUAUAUAUUGUUUUAAAAUAAUUUUGGACAAUUAUAAAACACAAAUAAAAAUUAAAUGUUGAGCAAUGAUAAUAUAAAAAGUGUUCAUAUAAGAUGAUAUAUAAAAAUCACUAGAUUCCGGUCUUCAAAAUUUAAUUUAGAUAUAAUUUAGAUGCAGUAAAAUAAGUUGGACCUAAAAUCUAGAUUUAUUUGAAUUAAAUGAAAUUAGACUUUUUAAAUUUAAUUCAUAUAAUUUUUUCAAAUUAUAUUUGCACUGACUUAAUUUUGAGGUAACAACUUACAUAAAAAUGAACUUUGCGUUUUUGUCCCUCAGUACAGAAUCAUCCAGCGUGGCGUUUGAGGUGCAUGAAGUCCAUUUAUCUGUUAAAAUAAGGCAAUAAUGAAAAGGGUACACGUGAAACAAAAAACAAAAUGGUAGCACUCAAGGUCACAAGACAACGUAAUCCUGAACACUUUGAUAAUUGAGGUCGGAAAAAGCAGUUGCUUGGUUGUCAUGAUAUAUGUACUGCACCAAUUAUGAGUUUUAUGAUAUAUACAUUCUUAUCUAUUGGGGAUUACUAUCACAGAAAGUUGUAUACAUUGCAGCCCCACAAACAAAUUC
This 6009-nucleotide long non-coding RNA is filed under the name Phaseolus vulgaris (common bean). RNAcentral's name for it is "long non-coding RNA (PVUL_LNC002315)". Lineage: Eukaryota; Viridiplantae; Streptophyta; Magnoliopsida; Fabales; Fabaceae. The record is from RNAcentral.